UACAGAGGUCUCAAGCGUUGUUCGGAUUCAUUGGGCGUAAAGGGUGCGUAGGCGGCGCGGUAAGUCGGGUGUGAAAUCUCGGGGCUUAACUCCGAAACUGCAUUCGAUACUGCUGUGCUUGAGGACUGGAGAGGAGACUGGAAUUUACGGUGUAGCGGUGAAAUGCGUAGAUAUCGUAAGGAAGACCAGUGGCGAAGGCGGGUCUCUGGACAGUUCCUGACACUGAGACACGAAGGCCAGGGGAGCAAACGGG
RNAcentral lists this ribosomal RNA (253 nucleotides) under uncultured bacterium. RNAcentral describes it as "partial 16S ribosomal RNA". It matches the Rfam family "Bacterial small subunit ribosomal RNA", at positions 524 to 776 of the family's 1533-position model. The record is from RNAcentral.